AGUUAGUGGCAGACGGGUGAGUAAUGCAUAGGAAUCUACCUAGUAGUAUAGGAUAGCCACUAGAAGUGGUGGGUAAUACUGUAUAAUCCCUGCGGGGGAAAGAUUUAUCGCUACAUGAUGAGCCUAUGUUAGAUUAGCUAGUUGGUGGGGUAAUGGCCUACCAAGGCAGUGAUCUAUAGCUGGUCUGAGAGGAUGAUCAGCCACACUGGAACUGAGACACGGUCCAGACUCCUACGGGAGGCAGCAGUGGGGAAUAUUGGACAAUGGGCGCAAGCCUGAUCCAGCUAUGCCGCGUGAGUGAGGAAGGCCUUAGGGUUGUAAAACUCUUUCAGUGGGGAAGAUAAUGACGGUACCCACAGAAGAAGUCCCGGCAAACUCCGUGCCAGCAGCCGCGGUAAUACGGAGGGGGCAAGCGUUGUUCGGAAUUAUUGGGCGUAAAGGGCAUGUAGGUGGUUUGGUUAGUUAAAGGUGAAAUGCCAGGGCUUAACCCUGGAGCUGCUUUUAAUACUGC
RNAcentral lists this ribosomal RNA (511 nucleotides) under Anaplasma bovis. RNAcentral describes it as "bacterial SSU rRNA". It matches the Rfam family "Bacterial small subunit ribosomal RNA", at positions 90 to 636 of the family's 1533-position model. Lineage: Bacteria; Pseudomonadati; Pseudomonadota; Alphaproteobacteria; Rickettsiales; Anaplasmataceae. The record is from RNAcentral.